GUGCCUAGACCAGCGAGAUCCGUAGGCGUUGUGAUUGCCGGAAAAAGUUGCUUCGGCGGGAGGCCGUCCCCUGUUUUAUAGGGCUCCCGGCCCGGACCGGACCCCCUGUGGGGCCCUUACUCGGCGCCCGCCGGAGGAUAACCAAACGCUAUUUUAACGACGUUUCUUCUGAGUGGCAUAAGCAAAAUAAUCAAAACUUUUAACAACGGAUCUCUUGGUUCUGGCAUCGAUGAAGAACGCAGCGAAAUGCGAUAAGUAAUGUGAAUUGCAGAAUUCAGUGAAUCAUCGAAUCUUUGAACGCACAUUGCGCCCGCCAGCAUUCUGGCGGGCAUGCCUGUUCGAGCGUCAUUUCAACCCUCAAGCUCUGCUUGGUGUUGGGGCUCUACGGUCGACGUAGGCCCUCAAAGGUAGUGGCGGACCCUCCCGGAGCCUCCUUUGCGUAGUAACAUUUCGUCUCGCACUGGGAUCCGGAGGGACUCUUGCCGUAAAACCCCCCAAUUUUUCAAGGUUGACCUCGGAUCAGGUAGGAAUACCCGCUGAACUUAAGCAUAUCAAUAAGCGGAGGAAACC
RNAcentral lists this ribosomal RNA (570 nucleotides) under Colletotrichum boninense. Its description in RNAcentral is "eukaryotic LSU rRNA". The stretch from base 195 to 348 matches the Rfam family "5.8S ribosomal RNA". Lineage: Eukaryota; Fungi; Ascomycota; Sordariomycetes; Glomerellales; Glomerellaceae. The record is from RNAcentral.